Molecule: ribosomal RNA, 254 nt
Filed under: uncultured bacterium
Lineage: Bacteria
Description: partial 16S ribosomal RNA
Rfam family: Bacterial small subunit ribosomal RNA
Source: RNAcentral
UACAGAGGGGGCAAGCGUUAUUCGGAAUUAUUGGGCGUAAAGGGCGCGUAGGCGGCAUGGCAAGUGGAUGGUGAAAUCCCUCGGCUUAACCGAGGAACUGCCGUCCAAACUGCUUCGCUUGAGACCGGGAGAGGUGAGUGGAAUUCCCAGUGUAGCGGUGAAAUUCGUAGAUAUUCGCAAGAACACCAGUGGCGAAGGCGGCUCACUGGCCCGAUACUGACGCUGAGGCACGAAAGCGUGGGGAGCAAACAGGG